This is a long non-coding RNA of Etheostoma cragini (Arkansas darter), 101 nucleotides long. RefSeq lists it as uncharacterized. The record is from RefSeq and is a predicted model, not a curated record. The transcript is spliced from 3 exons. NCBI's taxonomy places the organism in Eukaryota, Metazoa, Chordata, Actinopteri, Perciformes, Percidae.
UUGACGGGCCGGCGAAAGAGCAGCCUGGUAGCUGGAUAGUAGAGUCCGGUACACUGUUGGUCAGCCAUGUUUCCACAAAAACACAAACACAGCAGUGUUUG